AGUGGCGGACGGGUGAGUAACGCGUGAGAAUCAGCCUUGGGGUCGGGGACAACCACUGGAAACGGUGGCUAAUACCGGAUAAGCCGAUUGGUGAAAGAUUUAUUGCCCGAAGAGGAGCUCGCGUCUGAUUAGCUAGUUGGUGAGGUAAGAGCUCACCAAGGCAGCGAUCAGUAGCUGGUCUGAGAGGACGAUCAGCCACACUGGGACUGAGACACGGCCCAGACUCCUACGGGAGGCAGCAGUGGGGAAUUUUCCGCAAUGGGCGAAAGCCUGACGGAGCAAGACCGCGUGAGGGAGGAAGGCUCUUGGGUUGUAAACCUCUUUUCUCAGGGAAGAAGCUCUGACGGUACCUGAGGAAUCAGCCUCGGCUAACUCCGUGCCAGCAGCCGCGGUAAUACGGAGGAGGCAAGCGUUAUCCGGAAUUAUUGGGCGUAAAGCGUCCGCAGGUGGCGAUUCAAGUCUGCUGUCAAAGCACGGGGCUUAACUCCGUAAAGGCAGUGGAAACUGAAUAGCUAGAGUGCCGUAGGGGUAGAGGGAAUUCCCGGUGUAGCGGUGAAAUGCGUAGAGAUCGGGAAGAACAUCGGUGGCGAAAGCGCUCUACUGGACGGCAACUGACACUCAGGGACGAAAGCUAGGGGAGCGAAUGGGAUUAGAUACCCC
RNAcentral lists this ribosomal RNA (660 nucleotides) under uncultured bacterium. Its description in RNAcentral is "bacterial SSU rRNA". It matches the Rfam family "Bacterial small subunit ribosomal RNA", at positions 94 to 788 of the family's 1533-position model. The record is from RNAcentral.